AGCUUUGCGCAUUGGCAGUAUCAUAGCCAAUGAGGUUUAUCCGAGGAGCGAUUAUUGCUAAUUAAAGUACAGGGGGUGAGGGGAGUCCUAUAUGUCUGGAAAUAGACCUGUGAGUUAAAAAAUGAAAUCAAAAGGGAAACUGUAACAUAUUUAUAACUGAAU
This is a small nuclear RNA of Panthera leo (lion), 162 nucleotides long. Its record names the gene U4. It matches the Rfam family "U4 spliceosomal RNA". Rfam says of the family: U4 small nuclear RNA (U4 snRNA) is a component of the major U2-dependent spliceosome. The structure of U4 snRNA from yeast and human has been reported. The record is from Ensembl. Lineage: Eukaryota; Metazoa; Chordata; Mammalia; Carnivora; Felidae.